AUACCACUCAGUAUUUAUCACUAAACUCGAUCUUCCUGACCUCUGGUGGUUUUUUAAGCUAACAUUCUUGCUUAAUAAAUUCAACAAAAAAAAUUUUAGAUGAAGGAAAAAUUAGCAAAUCAAACUUGGGUAAUAGAAUUUAUUAAUAAAUAUGGUCGAGUCUCGUUAUGAGUAAUUUAUUUUCUUUUUUUAUAGCCAGACUCGCGUUAAUAUGAGAAACACUAAUAGGACUCUUAAAGAGACUAUACUGUAAAUCAAAAGAAUUUUUUCAAAUUAUUGCAACACAUAACAUUUGAAGAUGUCUAUGAUAUCAUACUGACUCAGCAAAUAUCUGACAGUUUUUGAAAUUUUUAUAACUAAUCAAUUAUGAUAAAAAAAAUAUCUUUGAA
This is a long non-coding RNA of Cotesia glomerata, 389 nucleotides long. RefSeq lists it as uncharacterized. The transcript has 3 exons. Lineage: Eukaryota; Metazoa; Arthropoda; Insecta; Hymenoptera; Braconidae. The record is from RefSeq and is a predicted model, not a curated record.